This 68-nucleotide ribosomal RNA is filed under the name Vibrio parahaemolyticus. RNAcentral's name for it is "partial 23S ribosomal RNA". Lineage: Bacteria; Pseudomonadati; Pseudomonadota; Gammaproteobacteria; Vibrionales; Vibrionaceae. The record is from RNAcentral.
GUUGUAUGGUUAAGUGACUAAGCGUACACGGUGGAUGCCUUGGCAGUCAGAGGCGAUGAAAGACGUAG